UACGAGUGCCUCGAGCGUUAUCCGGAAUCAUUGGGCGUAAAGGGUGUGUAGGCGGCUGUGCUAGUCUCGCGUAAAAUCUUUCGGCUCAACCGAGAGCUCGCGCGGGAAACGGCACGGCUAAGAGGAUGGAAGGGGUCUGCGGAACUCAUGGUGUAGCGGUGAAAUGCGUUGAUAUCAUGGGGAACACCGAAAGCGAAGGCAGCAGACUGGUCCACUCCUGACGCUGAAACACGAAAGCGUGGGUCGCGAAUGGG
Molecule: ribosomal RNA, 254 nt
Filed under: uncultured bacterium
Lineage: Bacteria
Description: partial 16S ribosomal RNA
Rfam family: Bacterial small subunit ribosomal RNA
Source: RNAcentral